AUCGCUUCUUGGCCUUUUGGCUAAGAUCAAGUGUAAUUUUUUUUUUUUUUUUUUGACAGGCAGAGUGAACAGUGAGAGAGAGAGACAGAGAGAAAGGUCUUCCUUCCAUUGGUUCACCCCGCAAUGGCUGCCGCAGCUGGUGCACUAAGGCUGGCGCACCACGCUGAU
This is a small nuclear RNA of Oryctolagus cuniculus (rabbit), 168 nucleotides long. Its record names the gene U2. It matches the Rfam family "U2 spliceosomal RNA". From Rfam's summary of the family: U2 is a small nuclear RNA (snRNA) component of the spliceosome (involved in pre-mRNA splicing). Complementary binding between U2 snRNA (in an area lying towards the 5' end but 3' to hairpin I) and the branchpoint sequence (BPS) of the intron results the bulging out of an unpaired adenosine, on the BPS, which initiates a nucleophilic attack at the intronic 5' splice site, thus starting the first of two transesterification reactions that mediate splicing. Lineage: Eukaryota; Metazoa; Chordata; Mammalia; Lagomorpha; Leporidae. The record is from Ensembl.